GGACAGUUGGCCGAGCGGCUUAAGGCGCACGCCUGGAACGCGUGUAUACGGCAACCCCGUAUCGAGGGUUCGAAUCCCUCACUGUCCGCUA
This 91-nucleotide transfer RNA is filed under the name Salinicoccus roseus. Its description in RNAcentral is "tRNA-Ser". It matches the Rfam family "tRNA". From Rfam's summary of the family: Transfer RNA (tRNA) molecules are approximately 80 nucleotides in length. Their secondary structure includes four short double-helical elements and three loops (D, anti-codon, and T loops). Further hydrogen bonds mediate the characteristic L-shaped molecular structure. tRNAs have two regions of fundamental functional importance: the anti-codon, which is responsible for specific mRNA codon recognition, and the 3' end, to which the tRNAs corresponding amino acid is attached (by aminoacyl-tRNA synthetases). tRNAs cope with the degeneracy of the genetic code in two manners: having more than one tRNA (with a specific anti-codon) for a particular amino acid; and 'wobble' base-pairing, i.e. permitting non-standard base-pairing at the 3rd anti-codon position. RNAcentral also lists the same sequence under 1 other name. The record is from RNAcentral. Lineage: Bacteria; Bacillati; Bacillota; Bacilli; Caryophanales; Staphylococcaceae.